Tachysurus vachellii is the source of this 950-nucleotide long non-coding RNA. RefSeq lists it as uncharacterized. The transcript has 5 exons. Lineage: Eukaryota; Metazoa; Chordata; Actinopteri; Siluriformes; Bagridae. The record is from RefSeq and is a predicted model, not a curated record.
GUGUGAACACACAAGAUGUUUGGUUUCUCCGGCUUCAUUUUAAUCUUCUGCACUAUAAAUACAGUUGAACUUCGCAGGAAUUAUUCAGGUCCCGUUCCAAAGGCAGUUCAUCAGCCUGAUAAAGUUCUCUGUGUGAAUGUGGGGGACUCAGCUACUCUACACUGCUGUGUUUUUGGUGAAGAUGUUGGAAUAGUUUUCUGGUAUAAGCAACCAAACAGAAAACAUCCCCAGAUUGUAAGCAGAGGGUCUAAAACUACUGACGUUACAUUUUUCAAUGAAUUCCAAAAUCUUCGUUUUCAAGUACAAAUCUCUUUAAACUGCUCCAGUAUGAACAUUUCUAACAUCAUCCAGUCUGAUGAAGCCAUGUACUACUGUGCCAUCGUAAAACCAUACGGCACGUUUGGACGUGGGACCUAUUUAAAGAUUAAAGGUGAUCAUGUUACUAUUGUAUCAGAAACAUCUAAAGCAGCUCUGUGUGAUAAUUCAGUGGUGUGUGAACCAACACCGCAUGGAAACAACACUAACACCAACACACAACACAACACAGGUGAGAUGUCAGUGUUUUGUACUAAUCUAAAUAUAAUGUGGUGAAAUAACAGAAUCAGAAAUGAUCAGAUCUCUACAUCGGACAGUGAUCGGUUUGGGAUCGGCUUUGGGUUUGUGCGCACUUCUGAUUUUCUGUCUCACUUAUUUCAUACUGAGGAGAAGAAAAGGUGAUAAAAAUUCUCCAGGAACGAAGCAGGAAUCUGAAGUUGACACACUGAAUUACGCAGCUUUGGAAUUCUCUAAACGGAACGCUGUAAAAAGUCGGACACAAACUGACACAACAGGAGAUCAGUGUGUUUACUCUACUGUGAAAAACAGCUCUAAUGUUUAAUGUGAAUUAUCUAACACAUUUCUAAUUAAGUGACAACAUCCCAGAGCUUUUAUUGUGGCAUUUAUAAAGCACU